This 253-nucleotide ribosomal RNA is filed under the name uncultured bacterium. RNAcentral's name for it is "partial 16S ribosomal RNA". It matches the Rfam family "Bacterial small subunit ribosomal RNA", at positions 524 to 776 of the family's 1533-position model. The record is from RNAcentral.
UACGUAGGGUGCAAGCGUUGUCCGGAAUUAUUGGGCGUAAAGAGCUCGUAGGCGGUUUGUUGCGUCGGCUGUGAAAUCCCGAGGCUCAACCUCGGGUCUGCAGUCGAUACGAGCAAACUAGAGUGUUGCAGGGGAGACUGGAAUUUCUGGUGUAGCGGUGAAAUGCGCAGAUAUCAGGAGGAACACCGGUGGCGAAGGCGGGUCUCUGGGCAACAACUGACGCUGAGGAGCGAAAGCGUGGGGAGCGAACAGG